Molecule: long non-coding RNA, 1225 nt
Organism: Entelurus aequoreus (snake pipefish)
Lineage: Eukaryota; Metazoa; Chordata; Actinopteri; Syngnathiformes; Syngnathidae
Exons: 3
Source: RefSeq, a predicted model, not a curated record
CAUUUUCUAAACUGUUGCCUGGUCGAACGAAAAACCUUCACCUCGUUUGCCCAAAACCCACAGUUUGCGGCUUGAAUCCCACCGUUGUUAUAAUAUUCUGCCGGCAAUUAAAUGACGGCUAAAGUUUCCAUAGUGGACGAUGUGCUCCUGUGACGUCCGCUUGGGUCUUAAAGCGAAUACAUGUGAUUUUGUAUCGCUGUGGCCAAUGCUCGUCUGUGCCACUCAGGACAAAAUAAACAGGAUUAUGUGUCCUUCUCAAACCUACUGCUGUAUUUCCAUCUGUGACAGCAGGACCGUCCUCCUCUUCCUCCUCCUCUUCCACCUCCUCCUCCUCCUCCGCCCGGCACCAACUUGCUUUUCUGCCACACAGAAUUUUGACAAGAGAGAGAGCAUUUACCAUAAACAGAAUUCAUUUACCUGAUUAUUGUUUCUAAAGUUGUAACAUGUAUCUUUUAUCCUUCCAUUAAACCAGGGGUCCCCAAGCUACGGCCCGCGGGCCGAAUACGGCCCGCCAGCAUCCAAAAUCCGGCCCGCGGGAAGUCCCAAGGACAGAUUUCAAAAAUGUGGUCAUGUGACUAUCCCAGGAUAUGGCUUACCCAAAAUGGCAGCAUGUCAGCAUCCUGGAAGGACGACCUCCGGCAUCAACAUGCCACGACCACGUCACACUUUUUUUUGCCACUAAUGCAAAUUUUUAAGUCAUUCAACAAUUGUAUAUUUUUAAUUCCUUGUCAAAUAUUACAAAUUAACUGUUCUUAAUGUAAUUAAUAAUAAUAUAACCAUCACCUAAUUUAUAUCAAAUAAGAGUAGGCUAAGAAAAUAGGGCUAUCUGGCUUUUACUCUUAAAGCAGUCGUGUCAAAAUCGUUUUCAUUGAGGGUCAUAUCACAGUUAUUGUUGCCCUCAGAGGGCCGCUUGUCACAGUGAAUAAUGAAUAUUCAUUUGUAUACACAAAACAUAUAUUUAAUUGCCGUUUGAUCAUUACAUAUUUUUUUACGUAUGCUGUAAAAAACAAAUCUAUAGAUUUUACUGUGAAAAUAACUGUCUCAUAAAAUUUGCUGUGUUAUUUUUUUACAGCAUACAAUACUGCUGUAAAUCAGAGGUGUCCAACUAAUUUUAGCUCAGGGGCCACAUGGAGGAAAAUCUAUUCCCAAGUGGGUCGCACCGAUAAUAUCAUGUCAUAAUAACUUAAAAAGAAAGACAACUUCAGAUAGUUUUCUUUGUUUUACU